UUCGUUUUGGUACAUUUUAUCCAAGCCAUACUUAAAUAUGGGUUACAAAUGCAUUUGUAUACAGCCCAAGGUUGAGCUGAUACGCUCUCACUGGACUGUUUGAUAUUAUGAUGAGAAUGAAGGUGUGAUAUUGAUGUGACACAAGAAGCUAGUGAGGAGGUGGAAGGCGAGUGAAGUAAGGUGAAGAACUGUGUAGAUGGUGCUAAACCCAAAGGGCAUAGUAUCAGUCCCACUGUUCGUGACAUAAAAGGAAGUGGCAGAAUGUAUCCUGCAUAACUUCAAGGUGUGAAGAUCGAUGACAAAGUAACAUCCAAAAUACAUACAGUAUGAUAGGUUCUUCAUACAGUCCAGUAUAGAAUCUGUUAUCUACCUGAAAAUGUAGGUCCACUCAUAAUUGUCAGCAGAUGACCAGAAGCAACUCAGAGUUUUCACAGAUAAUGAAAAUAGAGUGGUAUUUGACCAGAAGCUUGAGUUCAAAUAACUGCAGGCGAACAUAUGAUAAGCAAAAUUGCAGUGACUGACUGAAUGUGUAGGAAGGGUUUUAUUUAUUCUCUCUCUCUUUUUUUUAAAGGUUUUUUAUUUUUUAUCCCUAUAAGGAUAGGACGGGGAUUAGAGAAUGGGAAAAAAUCCUUAUUGUUCCAUGUGGGAUUUCCUGAGCAUGAGCAUCAGAUGUUGACAAGCUGCAUUUCUAUUUUUUAUUUAUAUUUUUUAGAAGUGAUGGUGAAUUUUGGACACAGUCAUUGUUAAAAACUGAAAAAAGAAAAAGACAGACAUAUGGGGAGACUGAUUAAAGGAAUGAAAAAUAGAUCUGUCUUUAGAGGAUGUGCAGUAGCAAUGGCAGCUCUUCUUUCCAGAGUCCACUUCAAAAUAAUAUACAGUCACACUGCAGUUGUGUGAUAACAAUAAAAGUAAGAAACAAAAUGCAAUAGUAAGCUGACGGCAGACACAAGAAAGCAACAAAGUCAAACUGGUGUGAGGAAAUGUGGAGAAUAGAUACAGAUGACAUAAAAGAAGGAAAGCUCAUCUCAUUCCUGUCUGCAGAUGUAAGAUAUAUGACAUUCAGGCUGGAUUUCUGGCUAGCAGGGCGGAAAAUUCCAUCUGUGUCCACUGAGGUGCUAUCAAAAAGCACAACUACGUUGUCUCUCUCUCUCUCUCUCUCUCUCUCUAUCUAUCUAUCUAUCUAUCUAUCUAUCUAUCUAUCUAUCUAUCUAUCUAUCUAUCUGUCUGUCUGUCUGUCUGUCUGUCUGUCUGUCUGUCUAGCUAUCGUCUGUAUCCAGUAAGGAUCCCUAAUAGUGAAGCUAUACCACAUCUG
This is a long non-coding RNA of Astatotilapia calliptera (eastern happy), 1312 nucleotides long. The record is from Ensembl. Lineage: Eukaryota; Metazoa; Chordata; Actinopteri; Cichliformes; Cichlidae.